RNAcentral lists this ribosomal RNA (440 nucleotides) under uncultured bacterium. RNAcentral describes it as "partial 16S ribosomal RNA". It matches the Rfam family "Bacterial small subunit ribosomal RNA", at positions 338 to 795 of the family's 1533-position model. The record is from RNAcentral.
CCUACGGGAGGCAGCAGUGGGGAAUAUUGCACAAUGGGGGAAACUCUGAUCCAGCAACGCCGCGUGAGUGAUGAAGUACUUCGGUAUGUAAAGCUCUUUUAGCAGGGAAGAAGACGAUGGUACUUGCGUAAGAAUCCCCGGCUAACUACGUGCCAGCAGCAGCGGCAAUACGUAGGGGGCAAGCGUUAUUCGGAUUUACUGGGGGUAAAGGGAGCGUAGUCGGUGAGAGAAGGCGGAAGUGAAAGCCCGGGGCUCAACCCCGGGACUGCUUUGGAAACUGCCGGACUGGAGUGCAGGAGAGGCAAGCGGAAUUCCUAGUGUAGCGGUGAAAUGCGUAGAUAUUAGGAAGAACACCAGUGGCGAAGGCGGCUUGCUGGACAGUAACUGACGUUGAGGCUCGAAAGCGUGGGGAGCAAACAGGAUUAGAUACCCUUGUAGUC